CUGUCCCUCAGGAUGCCGGUGAGGCUCAGGGAGCAGAAGAUAUUACAGAGAUGAUAGCUGAUUUGCAGCCUGUAAGGAACCCUCCAUUAGGUUCAGUAGUGAUAGGUGAGAGUGUGGUGCGUAGGACGGGACGGAGUACGGCUGGGCAGCAUUCUAAUGUACAUCAUCUGCCACGGUCACUUGGUGUAGGCACAGUGUCCAGUAUAGUUGGUAGUGCAGCUGAGGUAUGGUUUCGUCCUUGGGAUUGAAGGGCCUAGAGGGCAUGCUUUUUUUUUUAUUAGUUCACCGUCGGGGCGACGGUACAGAAGGUGGGGGUGGAUUGUGACCGAUCGUAUUGGAUAAGUGAUGGUGACUGACACUUGUAACAGCCAAUCAGCAGUAAGUGUGACCUAUUUUAGAGCAGGUUGGCUCUGUUGGGUCAUGCGUCACCUCCGGCCCCGCCUUUUUUGGGUUUUGUUUUUUUAUGUUGACUUGUGUUUCAGGUAUGUGUUAGCAGUUAGCUCUUCGUUUGUCUCUUUCAUAAUGUUGUGGACUAAUCGUUUGUUAUUUCAUUCUAGCCUGUCUUUUCCUUUGUUUUCUGUCGAUGGCCAUGAGUUUAAUGACUGCUGUUUAUUCAGGUAAGCGAUUAAUACUGUUAGAAAAUGGGUUGGCAUGGACUGAGCGCGCAGUUUGAAUAAUAGGCAGUUCCCUGUACCCUAGCUUGGUAUUGGUAUUACUGAGGAUGCCGAAUCCCAAUUUGUGAAUGCGUGCGAGCAUACUUUUUCCGGUUUGGAUUCUCCCUUUCGUCCUGGGCGAUUAAAUGUGCCGUUCCUGACGUUCUUUUCCUGUUGCGCCGUGAACUUUCGGUUACUCGGAAGUCUUAGUUGAUACGGAGAUCUACUACUGCUGUUUGCUACCCGCUACCCGCUAUCUGCUACCUGCUAUCUACUACUGAUCCCUGUGAUUGUGAUUUGUGUUACUGGUUAUUAUUGUGUAUUUUUGGUUUUGUUGGACAUUUUGUAUUGUUUAUAUUCAACAUUAGUUUGCCUUGGUUGAAUUUGUUUGUUUGUUUCCUUUUUUAUUCUUGUGACCAUUAUUGCCUGGAUUAGUGUGUAAGGUUUUGGUUUGUUUAAUGCACAUUGCAUAUACUCAUUUUAUUUUUAUCUUCUUACAGGAGCUGGGGUUCCACGGGUGUAGGAUCUUGAGGUGGUGGUGUCACUUCAUCAUUUGGUGUGUGCAGUGAGUGUGUCGGUGUGUGUGUGUGUGCGGGGGUGCGUAAGUGUGCUUUUGGAUAAAUUCAGCACUGGUGAUCACUCCCGUGUGUGACCUCAGCCCUGUGAGUUGGUUUUUUAUUUUGUUUUGGCAAUUUAAUGCCUACAUUCCUUUUGUAAUAGUUUGUUUUUCUGUGUAUAUAUAUAUAUUUGUUUACUAAAUUUUAUUUGAUUUACUGCAGUUACCAUUGGGGGGUGCUGCCGGCAGUAGGUGAUGAGGAUUCAAUGUGACUUUUAAAUGGUGAAACAAUUGUGAAAAUAAAUUUUGUACUUUCAUACUUUA
Puntigrus tetrazona (Sumatra barb) is the source of this 1533-nucleotide long non-coding RNA. RefSeq lists it as uncharacterized. The transcript is spliced from 2 exons. NCBI's taxonomy places the organism in Eukaryota, Metazoa, Chordata, Actinopteri, Cypriniformes, Cyprinidae. The record is from RefSeq and is a predicted model, not a curated record.